This 1564-nucleotide long non-coding RNA is filed under the name Anolis carolinensis (green anole). RNAcentral's name for it is "lncRNA (ENSACAG00000040407.1)". Lineage: Eukaryota; Metazoa; Chordata; Lepidosauria; Squamata; Anolidae. The record is from RNAcentral.
UCUCUACAACUGCAAGAAGAAGAACCUUACAAAAAGGUUACAGCACUUUUUACAGGUCUCCUCCUUGUAUUUAACAGCAGAAUGACACUUUGAGAAAAUGUCACUUUAGUCUGUGCUUUCUAUGCUUACUAUCUACACAUCAAGCUUCUGUUAAGAGACACAAAGAUAGGGAGAGUAAAACAAAAUGGCCAUUUUGAGAAACCUCUAUUUCAUUUUUUUCCUUAAGUUAAUAAAAUGAUCUUGUUUUGUCAUUUUCCCCAGCCCAGUCAGGCCAUGACUGAGACACGAGCCACCUUAGAAGCGGAAAACGAAUGGAUGCAGUAUUAUACAAAAAUGCUUGAACAGUUGGUGAAAAGCACCCACCAGAUCAACAAAUGUACGAAGGAUAUCCUACGCCAUCAGAGGAAAGUGCUGAAAUCUGAAUUAAGAGCAAGAAGAAAGACCUAUGAAAAUGUAAGGUGCUGGACAUAGACUGCGGGUUCUGAUCUGAGGCACUGGGCAGAGAGACAGACCUGUGGUAAGUCCCUAUGACCAGGAUCUGAGGUAUCUUUUGAUUACUCAAAAAACAAGAGUCAGAUUUCACCGUAUGUCUUUGAUUUGCUAUUAAUUUUUAUUUGUAUUUUUUAUUUGCCAGAUCAGUCAUUUAAUCACCAAAUCAGAAUCACAUAAGCAAUGAAUGAGCAAUCCAGCAUUUCCAAUUGAUUAUUGUCCUUUCUGCAGUUGCCAUGCCUGCUUAGAUAAGUACAUCCUUGAAGGAUCCAUAGUCUGUGGGUGACAGAUGAUAAUAAAUAUAGAUCUGGUAUGAUGACUGUAUUUAUGCAUGCUUUCUAGAGCAAACCUGCUCAAGAGUGCAUUGCUAGCAGAUAUAUGUAUAACACGCAUGUCCCUACUCUGAAGAUAUUUUGCUGGCCUCACUUUCAGAAAGCAAUAAUGCUACUGGUUAAAUCCUUUAGAUUCUGCAAACCCAGCAGUUUGAAAACAUGCAAAUCUAAGUAGAUCAAUAGGUACCGCUCCAGCGGGAAGGUAUCCACAUGACCCUGGAGGUUGUCUCUUCGGCUUACAAAUGGAGAUGAGCGCCAACCCCGAGAAUUGGACACAACUAGACUUAAUGUCAGAGGAAAACCUGUACCUUACCUAAGUCCUUUAGAAAUGAAGAUAAGGAUUUUUUAAAAUAACAGUUGUUUGUCCAAAUGGACAGCAGCCAGUUCUAAUUUUGAACACUAAGUAGAGAGACAUAUCUACAUUAUGAAAGGACACAUAUUAAGACUGUGGAAGAUAAAGAAACACUAUAUAAAAUUUAAGUGAAGCUGAAUGGAGACAGUAUAACAGGUUGGAUCUACAGUGCCAUAUAAUCCAGAUAAUUUCCUUUAAAUUGGAGUAUAUGAGUCUACACGGCCAUACAAUCCAGUUCAAAGCAGAUAAUCUGGAUUUUAUAUGAUAGUGCAGAUGGGGCCACAGAAGUAUAGUGUUUUUUCUUAGUGCUGAAGUCAGUUUUUCUGGAACACUGACUUCAGACUUCUUAGCAUCCCCCCCCCCCCCCCCCCCGGGACACACAUACAUACCG